CAGGGAUUGCCCCAGUAACGGCGAGUGAAGCGGCAAUAGCUCAAAUUUGAAAUCUGGCUCUUUCAGGGUCCGAGUUGUAAUUUGCAGAGGGCGCUUUGGCGUCGGCAGCAGCCUAAGUUCCUUGGAACAGGUCAUCAUAGAGGGUGAGAAUCCCGUAUGUGGCUGCUUGUCUUCACCGUGUAAAGCCCCUUCGAUGAGUCGAGUUGUUUGGGAAUGCAGCUCUAAAUGGGAGGUAAAUUUCUUCUAAAGCUAAAUAUUGGCCAGAGACCGAUAGCGCACAAGUAGAGUGAUCGAAAGAUGAAAAGCACUUUGGAAAGAGAGUCAAAAAGCACGUGAAAUUGUUGAAAGGGAAGCGCUUGCAGCCAGACGUGCCCGCAGUUGCUCAUCCGGGGUUCUCCCCGGUGCACUCUUCUGUGGGCAGGCCAGCAUCAGUCCGGGCGGUUGGAGAAAGACCUGUGUCAUGUAGCUCUCUUCGGGGAGUGUUAUAGGGCAGGUGGAAUGCAACCAGCCUGGACUGAGGUCCGCGCAUCUGCUAGGAUGCUGGCGUAAUGGCUGUAAGCGGCCCGUCUUGAAACACGGACCAAGGAGUCUAACAUCUAUGCGAGUGUUUGGGUGUCAAGCCCGAGCGCGUAAUGAAAGUGAACGGAGGUGGGAACCCCUCGGGGUGCACCAUCGACCGAUCCUGAUGUCUUCGGAUGGAUUUGAGUAAGAGCAUAGCUGUUGGGACCCGAAAGAUGGUGAACUAUGCCUGAAUAGGGUGAAGCCAGAGGAAACUCUGGUGGAGGCUCGCAGCGGUUCUGACGUGCAAAUCGAUCGUCAAAUUUGGGCAUAGGGGCGAAAGACUAAU
RNAcentral lists this ribosomal RNA (847 nucleotides) under Aposphaeria corallinolutea. RNAcentral describes it as "partial large subunit ribosomal RNA". It matches the Rfam family "Eukaryotic large subunit ribosomal RNA", at positions 69 to 935 of the family's 3401-position model. The record is from RNAcentral. Lineage: Eukaryota; Fungi; Ascomycota; Dothideomycetes; Pleosporales; Lophiostomataceae.